RNAcentral lists this ribosomal RNA (253 nucleotides) under uncultured bacterium. RNAcentral describes it as "partial 16S ribosomal RNA". It matches the Rfam family "Bacterial small subunit ribosomal RNA", at positions 524 to 776 of the family's 1533-position model. The record is from RNAcentral.
UACGUAGGGUGCGAGCGUUAAUCGGAAUUACUGGGCGUAAAGCGUGCGUAGGCGGCCAUGUAAGACAGAUGUGAAAUCCCUGGGCUUAACCUAGGAACUGCAUUUGUGACUGCAUUGCUAGAGUGUGAUAGAGGGAGAUGGAAUUCCGCAUGUAGCAGUGAAAUGCGUAGAUAUGCGGAGGAACACCAAUGGCGAAGGCAAUCUCCUGGACCUGCACUGACGCUCAUGCACGAAAGCGUGGGGAGCAAACAGG